CAGCAGCCGCGGUAAUACGAAGGGGGCUAGCGUUGUUCGGAUUUACUGGGCGUAAAGGGCGCGUAGGCGGGCGAAUAAGUCAGGGGUGAAAUCCCAAGGCUCAACCUUGGAACUGCCUUUGAUACUGUUUGUCUUGAGUUCGAGAGAGGUAAGUGGAACUGCGAGUGUGGAGGUGAAAUUCGUAGAUAUUCGCAAGAACACCAGUGGCGAAGGCGGCUUACUGGCUCGAAACUGACGCUGAGGCGCGAAAGCGUGGGGAGCAAACAGGAUUAGAUACCCCUGUAGUCCCUGUCUCUUAUAC
RNAcentral lists this ribosomal RNA (301 nucleotides) under uncultured bacterium. Its description in RNAcentral is "partial 16S ribosomal RNA". It matches the Rfam family "Bacterial small subunit ribosomal RNA", at positions 509 to 807 of the family's 1533-position model. The record is from RNAcentral.